Molecule: long non-coding RNA, 1567 nt
Organism: Nicotiana tabacum (common tobacco)
Lineage: Eukaryota; Viridiplantae; Streptophyta; Magnoliopsida; Solanales; Solanaceae
Source: RefSeq, a predicted model, not a curated record
GAGGACAGGCCUUUGGAAGAAGCGACAAACGGCGGAUCUGACUCCCCCCAGUUUCCUCCAUUUUCUUCUUCUUCUCAAGCCAUAAGACAAAACACCCCUCCUUAUGCACAGUGACAAGAAACGGCGCUCCUUCAAUGGAAUUUUGAGAUCCAUCUCAUCUUCUUCAUUUGAGAGGGUUAAUAAAAACAAACUUGAGAAAAAGCAGCUGCUCGCACCAAAAUCCUCUGAACCAAGCUCCCAUUUUCUUCCUUAAACCACCAGCAAAAGGCCAACCAUGGACAGCAGCUGAACCACCUCCAAAACACCAUUAGAGCACCUUUAAAGCCACCUUAUUAAGCUCCAAAACACUGCUCUCAAACCACCCCAAAUCAGCCCAUGUUUUCUGCUCAAAAUAACGCAGCAAAAACAGCUCUCAAACAAGCCAAUAACCAGCUGAAAUCCAGCUCUAAAACACCCAAAAAAUAUCAGCCAAAACGCAGCUAAAAUAGGUCCCAAAUCCAGCUACAUCGCACCACCAAAACCCGCGCCACAUCAACUUUAAAACAGUCCCGAACACUGCUGCAUUUCUGCUUUAGAAAGUGUUAAAUCGAUGGAACAGUCGAAACAAAACUCUUGCAUUUGAAGAUUAAAUUUCAGAUUUAAAAUUUCUCUUAGUUUGGGUGUCGAUGUUUGGGUUCGAUAGAAGUGUUGUUGCUCGUUGAUUUCCCCUGCUGCUGUUCCGGAAUUGUUGAACCUCGCCAAUUAGGAGUUCUAGGCUUGUAUUUGGUUCUUGAGCUACUGUUGUCUCCUUGCUUAGAUUCGCAGCAAUGCUGAUGAAUGGAAGGAAAGAAAAUGCUAUGAGGAAAUCAGACGAAGCCAACGGCUAUGUUCUUCGAACUCUGCAUCAAACGAAAAGAGAAUCAACUAAUCAAAGAAGAAAGAAGAAAAGUCAAUCAAUCAGACUUGCUAAAGAUUCUCAAGCAUUUAAGAAAUGAAAGAGACAAUCAAGUAUAGAGAGCAAAUCAAAGGGAAAUAUGUGGAAGCUCAAAUCAAGGAUAAUUGGAGGAACCAAAUCUUCAAACUAAAAAUGAAUCUGGCCACACCUCUCAAGUUAGAUUCAUGAGGCUAACCUUGGGUCUCACACUUAUAAAUCUAUGCCUCACAAGGAAAGACUUUCAGUCAUUGCUGCUCUGCGAUCCCAGAAAAGAGAAAUCAGAAGACUCAUCGAGCAAUAUAAAAGAAGAAGUAGAAUGGCAAAGAAGAUCACACAACUUGACAUCUAUUUCUACACCUUUCUAGUUCUUAGUACAAAUAUUGUAUUCUUGAGUCUGUAAGUGUUGCAAAAGAUAGGAAGAGUUAGAAAACAAAACAAGAGUUGUGUCAACACUAAAAAAAACAUUGUUGUUGUAAAUAGUUGGUGGUGAACAUACUAAAACCAUCACUGUUGUAAAGCCUUAGUCAAGAUCUAAGAGAACCCUUGUGACCUAAGGGAACUAGAUGUAGGUACCACAUCGGUACAAAACUAGUAUAAAAAUUGUUGUGCCUCCUUUACUUUUCUAUCUACAAAAUUUAAUUUUGCUGCGAUUAA